Molecule: ribosomal RNA, 750 nt
Filed under: Xanthomelon interpositum
Lineage: Eukaryota; Metazoa; Mollusca; Gastropoda; Stylommatophora; Camaenidae
Description: partial 16S ribosomal RNA
Rfam family: Archaeal large subunit ribosomal RNA (bases 347-503)
Source: RNAcentral
CACGAAUUAAGAUGAGCUAAUUAACUAUAAAUAUUAGUUUUAAGGAUGUAGCAUAAUUAUGAUAAACUGUUAAUUAGGGGUGAUAGGCUUAACAAGUCUUAUUAUAACUUGAUGUUUAUGAAAUGUAUUAAGUACAUACUCAACUAAAGAGUGCAAAGAUUCUUUAAAGGUAUUAAGGUCGUCAACAAACGCCAAUGUCUAGUUAUAACUAACAGACGGUAUAUAAAUAAAACAUUAUUCUUUAUGUUAUUAUUGAUAAUAAUAAACUAUAAAAUAAUCUAAUUAAAUAUAAAGAAUGUUAUUAUUAGUAAUUAAAAUAACUAUUUUUCAUGAAUUCGGCAACAUUUUCUCCAACUGUUUAUCAAAAACAUAGCUAGUAGUAAUUAAUUAUUAGUAUUUUCUGCUCAAUGAACAUUAAAUGGCCGCAGUACCCUGACUGUGCUAAGGUAGCAUAAUCAAUUGGCUUGUAAUUUAAGUCUCGUAUGAACGAAAACAUGAGGGAAAUACUUUAUUAAAAAUAUAUUAUUAAAUUGCUUUGUAAGUGAAAAUACUUACAGCAAAUUAUUAGACGAGAAGACCCUAGAAAUUUUUAGCACUUGAAAAAUAUAGUUUUUGUUGGGGCAACAUUGUAACACGUAACUUACAAGAAACACAAGAAACUUAUUGUUAGAUUAAAUUACUCUAGGGAUAACAGCGUAAUGUAUUAACGUUUGCGACCUCGAUGUUGGAUUAGGAAAUAUAAGCUUAGAA